GCGGAAUGCUUUACACAUGCAAGUCGAACGGCAGCACGGGUACUUGUACCUGGUGGCGAGUGGCGAACGGGUGAGUAAUAUAUCGGAACGUAUCCAUUAAUGGGGGAUAACUAAUCGAAAGGUUGGCUAAUACCGCAUACGUCCUACGGGAGAAAGCAGGGGAUCUUCGAACCUUGCGUUAAUGGAGCGGCCGAUAUCUGAUUAGCUAGUUGGUGAGGUAAAAGCUCACCAAGGCGACGAUCAGUAGCUGGUCUGAGAGGACGACCAGCCACACUGGAACUGAGACACGGUCCAGACUCCUACGGGAGGCAGCAGUGGGGAAUUUUGGACAAUGGGCGAAAGCCUGAUCCAGCCAUUCCGCGUGAGUGAAGAAGCCUUCGGGUUGUAAAGCUCUUUCGCAAGGGAAGAAAACUUACUUUCUAAUAAAGAGUGAGGCUGACGGUACCUUGAUAAGAAGCACCGGCUAACUACGUGCCA
RNAcentral lists this ribosomal RNA (477 nucleotides) under uncultured Methylophilaceae bacterium. Its description in RNAcentral is "bacterial SSU rRNA". It matches the Rfam family "Bacterial small subunit ribosomal RNA", at positions 39 to 510 of the family's 1533-position model. Lineage: Bacteria; Pseudomonadati; Pseudomonadota; Betaproteobacteria; Nitrosomonadales; Methylophilaceae. The record is from RNAcentral.